GACGAACGCUAGCGGCGUGCUUAACACAUGCAAGUCGAACGGAAAGGCCUCUUUCGGGGGGUACUCGAGUGGCGAACGGGUGAGUAACACGUGAGUAACCUGCCCUUGACUUUGGGAUAACUUCAGGAAACUGGGGCUAAUACCGGAUAGGAGCUCCUGCUGCAUGGUGGGGGUUGGAAAGUUUCGGCGGUUGGGGAUGGACUCGCGGCUUAUCAGCUUGUUGGUGGGGUAGUGGCUUACCAAGGCUUUGACGGGUAGCCGGCCUGAGAGGGUGACCGGCCACAUUGGGACUGAGAUACGGCCCAGACUCCUACGGGAGGCAGCAGUGGGGAAUAUUGCACAAUGGGUGGAAGCCUGAUGCAGCAACGCCGUGUGCGGGAGGACGGCCUUCGGGUUGUAAACCGCUUUCGCUCAUGACGAAGCUUUGUGUGACGGUAGUGGGUAAAGAAGCACCGGCUAACUACGUG
Molecule: ribosomal RNA, 467 nt
Filed under: uncultured bacterium
Lineage: Bacteria
Description: partial 16S ribosomal RNA
Rfam family: Bacterial small subunit ribosomal RNA
Source: RNAcentral